CCAUCUCCAUUCCUAUCGAAAACGUUGAACGCUUCCUUCAUAUCUUCUUCUCCUAUCUCGUCCUCGUCUUCCACCAUUAUCGUCUUGUAAAGCUCUCCAAACUCUUCAAUGUCGACACAACCAUCGCCGUUCACAUCGAUCUUGUCGAUCAUCUGCCCGAGCUCCUUUUCUGGUAUUAUGAUCCCGAGGUUUUUCAAUGAAUCGUUUAGCUCCUUCUUAGUGAUCCGACCGUCUCCGUCCUUGUCGAAUAUUUGGAACACACGUUUGAGUUCCGUGGUAUUCAUUUUUAGGAAUAGGGUUAGGUUUGGAUUUGAGUUUGAGUUUGCGUGUGGAUGAAGUAAGCGUGAAAACAGAGAAUGAUGAGACUCCGCGAAGCCAUAAAGCAGUACUUUCUUGGCCCCUUGGAGACCCGGCAAGGGGAGUUUCAGAAACUAAGGAGAAUGUUAAAUAAAUGCGAUUGAAAAUUUUAGCCAAAAACUCGAGGUAAUAAAUACGGACAAAAAUAGAAGAGACAAAGAGAGAUUGUCUUAGGGUUGGAUUACUGUUGGUGGAGAGGGAAUGUUGGUCUUUUAAAGAGGACUUGUGGCUUUGUAUCCAAGUCUUAGAAAAAAGUUUAUCGGUUCUAUAAAUUGCAAACCAAAAUACUUUAAUUUUAUUUUUAGUUGAUUCUUAUUUAUACCAAAAUUUAAUAAUACAAUAAUAUUAUAUUAGGUGAACAAUAUACUAAAAUAUCAAUAUGUUGACCAGGAAUGAAGAAAAAUUGAUGCAUAUUCUAACCUUUCUAAAAAAAUUACCAUUCACAAGCAAUAUUUUUUUCUUUUUUAUUUUUUUUGUAAAGAAAUAAAAAAUAAAAUUAUACUUUGUUGAAUUUGAAAAGAAACAAUCAUUUUUUUUUUCAUUCUUACAGUUUUAUUCUUUUACAUUCGUUUCCUAUUCGUUCAUUUUGUUUUCAAAAUAUUCACCGGUCGGACCAUAGUGUUUAACAUUAUCAUUGCUUAUAAUGUAAUUAACUAAAUAAUCUGUUUGCCGGCGGCUAAGAUCAAAUCCGUUGGAGUGGUGAACCACUUCGUUAUACUGUCCCAACUAUGUGAAGUCUUUAAAUUCACUUUUCUAAUAAAACAAUAAACAGAAUAUGUCAACAGAUAUAAUAAUUUGUUAACAAUUCGUUUUUUAUGAUGAUAUUUGUUCACUUGUAAACUGAUGAAACCCUUAUUCACGAAGAAACAAAGGAAAGCACUUUGUGUUCCAAAGAAAUCAGUACAUAUUAUUUUUCUAAAAUUUAAACUGUUGAGAUGCAGUAACUGGCAGAAUUCUAAAAGUUGGAAACGGACAGUAAUACAAGAACUACAUCUCCUAAAUUAAAUCUUAAAUCAAUUCAUAAAAUAGAUAAUACUUUGUCAUAUUGGUAUUUUAUCACCUGGAACUCUCAAUGUUUAUGUCAGAGUUGUGUCUUUUAGCGAGUCAGAAGUGGUGGUUUGGUGAAGCGAGUUCAUAUAGGGGUUGGUGAAGUGGUGUCUUUUAGCUUCUCUUCAUGGUGCAAACACAUCCUUUGGGGUAGUAGACCUUGUUCUGCAAUCUCGGUGCAGUGUGUAGCUUAAAUCCAUAUUAUAGGGGGUUAGAUUCUUAGGAAUCAAAUUUUUGAGGAUUAAUUUUCUUUUUAUUGUGCAGCUUCUGAUGGUUGUGGCUUUUCCAAAUGAGAGCGGGUUUUGUGCUCCAUGCAGUUCUUUCGCCUUUUCUCAGUUUAUAAAAAAAAGCAUCUCAAUCACAUUAUAAUUAAAUUAAUAAACAAACAGGUCUACAAUUUUUACAAUGUGCUCUCGCAAAUCUUAGACUAUUAAACACUUCAUUUACCAAUCAUGUGAUUUUUCCUUCUAGAAUGCGAGAGAAAAAUGGUUAAUCAAAAAAAUAAAAUAAACAAAGUUAAGAAAAAAAAGGUCAUUAAUUAUCAGCUCAAAGAGCUAAAAAACCGACCCUUCUUCAUCAUUUGUCUAAACUCCGUGUAAUCAACUCUACCAUCACCAUCAACAUCCACUUGUAUUAUCAUCUUCCUACAUUCCUCCAAGGUUUUACCUUGCUUGAGUCCCAAGGAAGACAAAACCGCUUUCAGUUCAUCCACUGUAAUAAACCCAUCUCCAUUCCUAUCGAAAACGUUGAACGCUUCCUUCAUAUCUUCUUCUCCUAUCUCGUCCUCGUCUUCCACCAUUAUCGUCUUGUAAAGCUCUCCAAACUCUUCAAUGUCGACACAACCAUCGCCGUUCACAUCGAUCUUGUCGAUCAUCUGCCCGAGCUCCUUUUCUGGUAUUAUGAUCCCGAGGUUUUUCAAUGAAUCGUUUAGCUCCUUCUUAGUGAUCCGACCGUCUCCGUCCUUGUCGAAUAUUUGGAACACACGUUUGAGUUCCGUGGUAUUCAUUUUUAGGAAUAGGGUUAGGUUUGGAUUUGAGUUUGAGUUUGCGUGUGGAUGAAGUAAGCGUGAAAACAGAGAAUGAUGAGACUCCGCGAAGCCAUAAAGCAGUACUUUCUUGGCCCCUUGGAGACCCGGCAAGGGGAGUUUCAGAAACUAAGGAGAAUGUUAAAU
This 2575-nucleotide long non-coding RNA is filed under the name Brassica napus (rape). Its description in RNAcentral is "long non-coding RNA (BNAP_LNC002417)". Lineage: Eukaryota; Viridiplantae; Streptophyta; Magnoliopsida; Brassicales; Brassicaceae. The record is from RNAcentral.